CUACAUGAAGCUGGAAUCGCUAGUAAUCGCGAAUCAGAAUGUCGCGGUGAAUACGUUCCCGGGUCUUGUACACACCGCCCGUCACACCAUGGGAGUCGGAAAUGCCCGAAGUCAGUGACCCAACCGUAAGGAGGGAGCUGCCGAAGGUGGAGCCGGUAACUGGGGUGAAGUCGUAACAAGGUAUC
RNAcentral lists this ribosomal RNA (185 nucleotides) under uncultured bacterium. RNAcentral describes it as "partial 16S ribosomal RNA". It matches the Rfam family "Bacterial small subunit ribosomal RNA", at positions 1316 to 1500 of the family's 1533-position model. The record is from RNAcentral.